UAGGGAAUAUUGGACAAUGGGUGCAAGCCUGAUCCAGCCAUGCCGCGUGCAGGAAGAAGGCCUUCUGGGUUGUAAACUGCUUUUGCCAGGGGAUAAAAAGGCGAUGCGUCGCAAAUUGAAGGUACCUGGUGAAUAAGCCACGGCUAACUACGUGCCAGCAGCCGCGGUAAUACGUAGGUGGCAAGCGUUGUCCGGAUUUAUUGGGUUUAAAGGGUGCGUAGGUGGUCUAUUAAGUCAGUGCUGAAAUAUCCCGGCUUAACCGGGAGGGUGGCAUUGAUACUGAUGGACUUGAGUAGAGUUGAGGUAGGCGGAAUUGACGGUGUAGCGGUGAAAUGCUUAGAUAUCGUCAAGAACACCGAUAGCGAAGGCAGCUUACUAAGCUCUUACUGACACUGAUGCACGAAAGUGUGGGGAUCAAACAGG
This 423-nucleotide ribosomal RNA is filed under the name uncultured bacterium. Its description in RNAcentral is "bacterial SSU rRNA". It matches the Rfam family "Bacterial small subunit ribosomal RNA", at positions 355 to 776 of the family's 1533-position model. The record is from RNAcentral.